GCUCUCGUAGUUCAACGGAUAGAACGGACCCGUCCUAAGGGUUUGAUAGAGGUUCAAUUCCUCUCGAGAGCA
This 72-nucleotide transfer RNA is filed under the name bacterium. RNAcentral's name for it is "tRNA-Arg". It matches the Rfam family "tRNA". From Rfam's summary of the family: Transfer RNA (tRNA) molecules are approximately 80 nucleotides in length. Their secondary structure includes four short double-helical elements and three loops (D, anti-codon, and T loops). The record is from RNAcentral.